Molecule: unclassified non-coding RNA, 236 nt
Filed under: Hevea brasiliensis (rubber tree)
Lineage: Eukaryota; Viridiplantae; Streptophyta; Magnoliopsida; Malpighiales; Euphorbiaceae
Source: RNAcentral
GAAGAAUUUAUGGGAAAUUGGUGAGUUCUUUGGAAACAUACAGGCUUUGUGAAGAUCAAAAUUGCACUUUUCACAUCGGUAUCGAGGCCCAAAGCCUAUUUCCAUGCAGCCAUCGCAGGUGUAAGGUUUCAGGUACUUCUUCAGCUCCAGUUCAUGUUUCGGGUGGCUUGGAUUACGCAACUGCAUCGCCAUUUCUCUGUGUUGCCUUGAAGCGAAAAAAACAACACCAACGGACA